AAACGAAUAAUCGAAUAAACGAAUGAUUUCUAAACGAUAAUCGAAUGAUCGAUUAUUCGGGUAUAAUCGAGAUAUCUCGAUUAUAUCAUUCGUAAUCGCCCAACACUAUCAUUAUCAAUGUGCUGGUGUGAGUGUGAACACGUGAGAAGUGCAGACAACAGAUUUUGGAAUUGUUUAUUCAACAAUUUCGUGACGAAGAGCUGCAUUUAAGGUACUUCCAACAGGAUGGAGCAACUGCACACACUGCAGUUUAAGGCUGCAGCAUGCAUUUUCCACCACGUUCUCCAGACCUCAAGCCACUGGACUUUUAAUUUUUGGAUAUUUGAAGCACAAAAUGCUUCAGUGACAGAUGGAUAAUUUGGCAGAAUUACAACAUGAAAUUGAACAAUGGGCCCAAAACACUGAUGAACGGAUGUAACAGAACAUUUUUGAAAAUGAGAAAAAGAGAGUGAACAUAUGCCUUGGA
This is a long non-coding RNA of Zophobas morio, 466 nucleotides long. RefSeq lists it as uncharacterized. The record is from RefSeq and is a predicted model, not a curated record. Lineage: Eukaryota; Metazoa; Arthropoda; Insecta; Coleoptera; Tenebrionidae. The transcript has 3 exons.